ACGGUCCUCUGAUCCAUUCUUUUGAUCAGAGAGAAGAUGAAGAGUGUCAAGUAAAUAAUGGCACGUGACUCGGACGAAGUAUCCACGUGCGUCCUCUCCCCACACCCAUGUGGCCCAUAGGAUAUAUGACCGGCUCCGUCGGUCCAACUUGUCCAUGUUCCCCUAUUUAAUUUUUAAACACACCCUGCCGUUAAAUCAAAUU
Long non-coding RNA from Arabidopsis thaliana (thale cress), 202 nucleotides. RefSeq annotates it as other RNA. The transcript has a single exon. The record is from RefSeq. NCBI's taxonomy places the organism in Eukaryota, Viridiplantae, Streptophyta, Magnoliopsida, Brassicales, Brassicaceae.